Molecule: ribosomal RNA, 492 nt
Filed under: uncultured bacterium
Lineage: Bacteria
Description: partial 16S ribosomal RNA
Rfam family: Bacterial small subunit ribosomal RNA
Source: RNAcentral
AGUGAACGCUGGCGGUAGGCCUAACACAUGCAAGUCGAGCGGCAGCACAGUAAGAGCUUGCUCUUACGGGUGGCGAGUGGCGGACGGGUGAGGAAUACAUCGGAAUCUACUUUUUCGUGGGGGAUAACGUAGGGAAACUUACGCUAAUACCGCAUACGACCUACGGGUGAAAGCAGGGGAUCUUCGGACCUUGCGCGAUUGAAUGAGCCGAUGUCGGAUUAGCUAGUUGGCGGGGUAAAGGCCCACCAAGGCGACGAUCCGUAGCUGGUCUGAGAGGAUGAUCAGCCACACUGGAACUGAGACACGGUCCAGACUCCUACGGGAGGCAGCAGUGGGGAAUAUUGGACAAUGGGCGCAAGCCUGAUCCAGCCAUACAGCGUGGGUGAAGAAGGCCUUCGGGUUGUAAAGCCCUUUUGUUGGGAAAGAAAAGCAGCAGGUUAAUACCCCGCUGUUCUGACGGUACCCAAAGAAUAAGCACCGGCUAACUUCGUG